RNAcentral lists this ribosomal RNA (775 nucleotides) under uncultured Neocallimastigales. RNAcentral describes it as "partial large subunit ribosomal RNA". It matches the Rfam family "Eukaryotic large subunit ribosomal RNA", at positions 22 to 635 of the family's 3401-position model. Lineage: Eukaryota; Fungi; Neocallimastigomycota; Neocallimastigomycetes; Neocallimastigales. The record is from RNAcentral.
GUACACGCUGUGACUAGCAUAUCAAUAAGCGGAGGAAAAGAAACUAACAAGGAUUCCCCUAGUAACGGCGAGUGAAGCGGGAAGAGCUCAAAUUUGAAAUCUUAAAGGGUUUCCCUUUACGAAUUGUAGUUUAAAGAAGUGUUUUCUGUUGAGGUUUUGGUAAAAGUUCUUUGGAAUAGGACAUCAUAGAGGGUGAGAAUCCCGUAUUUGACCUUUACUUUCAACCUUUGUGAUACACUUUCAAAGAGUCGGAUUGUUUGGGAAUGCAGUCCAAAAUGGGUGGUAAAUUUCAUCUAAAGCUAAAUAUUAGCGAGAGACCGAUAGCGAACAAGUACCGUGAGGGAAAGAUGAAAAGAACUUUGAAAAGAGAGUUAAACAGUACGUGAAAUUGUCAAAAGGGAAGCGUUUGACACCAGUGUUGUUUUUCUGAAAAUCAAUUAAAGAACUGUUUAUGCUAAGCUGUUUAGACUUUAUCAGCUAUCUGUUUAGUUUUGAGCUUUUCUUUAAUGCACUUUUCAGUUAACAAGUCAACAUCAAUUUCUUUUGCUGUAAAAAAGCUUGAGGAAGGUGGCUUGAGAUUCGUCUUAAGUGUUUAUAGCCUCUUGCCUAUGCAGUCGGAGAGAUUGAGGUCUGCAGCGUAGAUCCUUCGGGGCUAAAUGCAUUUGUGCUAAGUUAUAGCAUUUUAUAGACAACUUGUUGACUAUGAUUUGUCUUGUAGCUUACUCGCUUAUGUUAUUUUACCUACGCUUAGGAUGUUGAAGAUGUAGCACAUCAU